Molecule: ribosomal RNA, 370 nt
Filed under: uncultured bacterium
Lineage: Bacteria
Description: bacterial SSU rRNA
Rfam family: Bacterial small subunit ribosomal RNA
Source: RNAcentral
AACGAACGCUGGCGGCAGGCCUAACACAUGCAAGUCGAACGCUCCGCAAGGGGAGUGGCGCACGGGUGAGUAACACGUGGGAACCUACCUUCUGGUACGGAACAACCAAGGGAAACUCUGGCUGAUACCGUAUACGACCUCCGGGUGAAAGAUUGAUCGCCGGAAGAGGGGCCCGCGUCCGAUUAGGUAGUUGGUGAGGUAACGGCUCACCAAGCCUGCGAUCGGUAGCUGGUCUGAGAGGAUGACCAGCCACACUGGGACUGAGACACGGCCCAGACUCCUACGGGAGGCAGCAGUGGGGAAUAUUGGACAAUGGGCGCAAGCCUGAUCCAGCCAUGCCGCGUGAGUGAUGAAGGCCUUCGGUUGUAAG